AGGAUGAACGCUAGCGGCAGGCUUAAUACAUGCAAGUCGAGGGGCAGCAGCUUUAUAGCAAUAUAGAGGCUGGCGACCGGCAAACGGGUGCGGAACACGUACACAACCUUCCUUGAAUAGGGGGAUAGCCCAUAGAAAUGUGGAUUAAUACCCCGUAAUAUAGCGGUGUGGCAUCACACUGUUAUUAUAGUUUCGGCGAUUCGAGAUGGGUGUGCGGCUGAUUAGGUAGUUGGCGGGUAAAGGCCCACCAAGCCUUCGAUCAGUAGCUGAUGUGAGAGCAUGAUCAGCCACACGGGCACUGAGACCACGGGCCCACUCCUACGGGAGGCAGCAGUAAGGAUAUGGCAUGACGCGAGUCUGAACCAGCCAUGCCGCGUGAAGGAUGAAGUCCUCUGAUUGUAACUUCUUUAGUAGGGUACGAAAAAGGUCUUACUAGAUCACUUGACAGUACCCUAUGAAUAAGCACCGCUAACCUCGU
Molecule: ribosomal RNA, 478 nt
Filed under: uncultured soil bacterium
Lineage: Bacteria
Description: bacterial SSU rRNA
Rfam family: Bacterial small subunit ribosomal RNA
Source: RNAcentral